This 75-nucleotide transfer RNA is filed under the name Bacteroidota bacterium. RNAcentral's name for it is "Bacteroidetes bacterium (activated sludge metagenome) tRNA-Val". It matches the Rfam family "tRNA". Rfam says of the family: Transfer RNA (tRNA) molecules are approximately 80 nucleotides in length. Their secondary structure includes four short double-helical elements and three loops (D, anti-codon, and T loops). Further hydrogen bonds mediate the characteristic L-shaped molecular structure. tRNAs have two regions of fundamental functional importance: the anti-codon, which is responsible for specific mRNA codon recognition, and the 3' end, to which the tRNAs corresponding amino acid is attached (by aminoacyl-tRNA synthetases). tRNAs cope with the degeneracy of the genetic code in two manners: having more than one tRNA (with a specific anti-codon) for a particular amino acid; and 'wobble' base-pairing, i.e. permitting non-standard base-pairing at the 3rd anti-codon position. The record is from RNAcentral. Lineage: Bacteria; Pseudomonadati; Bacteroidota.
GGGCGCUUAGCUCAGCUGGUUUAGAGCGUCUCGCUUACACCGAGAAGGUCGGGGGUUCGAACCCCUCAGCGCCCA